Herpailurus yagouaroundi (jaguarundi) is the source of this 1984-nucleotide long non-coding RNA. RefSeq lists it as uncharacterized. Lineage: Eukaryota; Metazoa; Chordata; Mammalia; Carnivora; Felidae. The transcript has 3 exons. The record is from RefSeq and is a predicted model, not a curated record.
CGAAUAGAGAGCUCAGAAACAGACACAUUUUGCAAAAUGUAAAAUACGAGGCAGUUCGUCAAAGCCGCAGACCUUGGCCCUCCUCUCGCUCACUGCCCAUGUCAGUCACGUCCUCGCCGGCUCUCAAAGCAAGGGCUCCAUCUCGCACAAAACGAGGUUGCAGUGACACUAAGUGAACUGCGAUGGCCGGCCCCUGUAGGUGACAGACCCCUGCAACCCCUCAUGAAGAGCCCCAGAAACGUCCCUCGGAUGCAACACACAGCCAUUUUCAUAGAACCCCACGGAGACUGAAACUGAACUGUUAGUAUGGAACAAGGAGUCGACAACGAUGGCAGGGAUUUUAAGCCAGAUGGGAAAGGGGAGGAGCUGCCUAGUAGGCUUGCCAAAGAGCUAUUUGGAGCAAGCAGUGAUGUGGUUAUAGAGCAAAGACCUUAAAGACCACCCCUCAUUUCCCAGAGGAACCAUUUCAACCGAGAGCGGGUGUGGUCAUCAGCCUUCAAGAUGGUCUCCUAGAAUUCCUGCCCUUGUGUUGUCUCUCUCCCAGACUGACUAGGGCUGACCUGUGCAACCAACGGAAUGUUGAGGAACUCACAAUUUGUGACUGCUGAGCCUAGAUCAUAAAAGCACAUUGUGACUGCUAUCUUGGAUCACUCACUCUGCGGAAAGCUAGCUUCCAUGUCACAAGGACACUCAAGUGGUCCUAUGGAGAGGCCCUCAUGGUGAAAAAUUGCAGCCUCCUGCCAACAGCCAACAAGGAACUGAGGUCUCCUGCCCAUAGCCAUGUGGAUGAACCAUCUUGGAAGAGGACACUCCAGCCCCGGUAAACCCUUCAGAUGAUGCAGCCCCAGCCAAUGUGUUGAGAGACUGUGACUCAGAACCUCCCAGCUACACCACUCCCACAUUCCUGACCUGCAAAAACAGUGAGAUAAUAAAUGUUUGCUAUUUGAAUUCACCGAGCAUGGGGUUUAUUUGCUAUACAGCAAGAGACAACUCACACAGAGGGUGUAUAUCACCAAGUUAUGUUCUGUAUUCUCGCAAUGUGCCCACAAUCAUUAUCUCAUUUCAUUCUGAUACUUACUUGACUUCUCUGGCUCAGAGGUAGAGAGGCUGCAGGUGGGAGAGGUUAAGUAGCCUUUCCAAGUUCACACGAUGCAUGAUAGCAGAAACAGAUGAAGAAGCCAAGGAUUCUAACUUCUAAUAUUUUCUCUGUGCACGCAGUCCAGCUGCUGAACUCACAUUAUGUGGAUAUCUGCACCAUUAGCCAUUUUUCUAGGACCUGCUUUGUUUUGCAAGGAUUCCCUAUUGAAUGUUCUAGGACACAGACGGAGGCAGCAUCACCGGUGGAUGAAGAGGUUACCUCAACUUUAGCACGACCUGAGAAGCUAGACGGAGUAUUCCUGGCCACCAUUCAACAAGCCUCAACUGAGCGCCUGCCAUAUGACAAGUGUCAAAAAAGCCACAUCUACAGGAUGCAUUUCCUAGAGGCACAGUUCAAUAGAGAGCCAGGGGGUGAAAAAAAAAGAGAAAAGAAAAAUAAGAAAGCUAUAACAUUUGAGCUUGAAAUGUCACAGGGAGCCAAGGAAGUUGUCUGAUGGAUUGCCCUGUCAUCUCCAAGCCAAAAGAAAAAAAAAAAAAUUCAGAUCCAUCAAUUUGUUCCUGCCCUUUUAAUCCAAACAAUAUUUUACAGCAUCAGAACGCAAAGAAAUUAUUUUCUUAGACAUUCAACAACGCGCGUGGAUUGCUGAGCACUUCACCAGAAAGCAGCAAAUGAUGGAAUGAAGGCACAGAAAAAUGAAAUGGCUUGCUCAGGGUCAUACAACUAAAAAGAGGCAGAACUGGGAUUUGAACCCAUGUCAUCUGACUGCAGAGCCUGUGUUCUUAACGCCUUCAGAAGACUGGAAGGUGAAAUAUCUCUAUUCUCUCAAGAGUUCUGUAAGAUUGGCUGUUUCUAACUCCCUCACCAUUGUGGUCAACCUCUGCUGAA